CUGAGUGGCGGACGGGUGAGUAACGCGUGGGUAACCUGCCUCACACAGGGGGAUAACAGUUGGAAACGGCUGAUAAUACCGCAUAAGCGCACAGUACCGCAUGGUACAGUGUGAAAAACUCCGGUGGUGUGAGAUGGACCCGCGUCUGAUUAGCUUGUUGGCAGGGUAACGGCCUACCAAGGCAACAAUCAGUAGCCGACCUGAGAGGGUGACCGGCCACAUUGGGACUGAGACACGGCCCAAACUCCUACGGGAGGCAGCAGUGGGGAAUAUUGCACAAUGGAGGAAACUCUGAUGCAGCGACGCCGCGUGAGCGAAGAAGUAUUUCGGUAUGUAAAGCUCUAUCAGCAGGGAAG
RNAcentral lists this ribosomal RNA (356 nucleotides) under uncultured bacterium. RNAcentral describes it as "bacterial SSU rRNA". It matches the Rfam family "Bacterial small subunit ribosomal RNA", at positions 91 to 447 of the family's 1533-position model. The record is from RNAcentral.